GCAUCGAUGAAGAACGCAGCGAAACGCGAUAGGUAAUGUGAAUUGCAGAAUUCCGUGAAUCAUCGAAUCUUUGAACGCACCUUGCGCUCCAUGGCAUUCCGUGGAGCAUGCCUGUUUGAGUGCCGCGAAAUCUCCCACCCCUAGCGGUUGCCGCAAGGCGCCGCCGGGCGGCGGGGUUGGUUGGGUGCCGCUGCCUGGGCUUUGGCCCAGGCUCGCCCGAAAUGCAUGAGCGCUUAGCACUCGCACCGUCUCGAGGGAAGGCGGCGGAGCUGGCAUCUGCGCAUGGCAUGAUACGUCAUUUGCUGUGUGGCAGCCCAGCGACCCGAGAGUGUGUGUGCGCUACUACACGCCCUUUCAUUUCUGGUCUCAAAUCAGGUAGGAUCACCCGCUGAACUUAAGCAUAUCAAUAAGCGGAGGA
Molecule: ribosomal RNA, 418 nt
Filed under: uncultured fungus
Lineage: Eukaryota; Fungi
Description: eukaryotic LSU rRNA
Rfam family: 5.8S ribosomal RNA (bases 1-125)
Source: RNAcentral